This 253-nucleotide ribosomal RNA is filed under the name uncultured bacterium. RNAcentral describes it as "partial 16S ribosomal RNA". It matches the Rfam family "Bacterial small subunit ribosomal RNA", at positions 524 to 776 of the family's 1533-position model. The record is from RNAcentral.
UACGUAGGGGGCAAGCGUUGUCCGGAAUCAUUGGGCGUAAAGCGCGUGUAGGCGGUCCGGUAAGUCCGCUGUGAAAGUCGGGGGCUCAACUCCGGGCCUGCAGUCGAUACGGGCCGGCUUGAGUGCGGUAGGGGAGACUGGAAUUCCACGUGUAGCGGUGAAAUGCGUAGAGAUGUGGAGGAACACCGAUGGCGAAGGCAGCCUCCUGGGCCAACACUGACGCUCAUGCACGAAAGCGUGGGGAGCAAACAGG